RNAcentral lists this ribosomal RNA (422 nucleotides) under uncultured prokaryote. Its description in RNAcentral is "bacterial SSU rRNA". It matches the Rfam family "Bacterial small subunit ribosomal RNA", at positions 358 to 796 of the family's 1533-position model. The record is from RNAcentral.
GGAAUCUUGCCCAAUGGACGAAAGUCUGAUGCAGCGACGCCGCGUGGGGGAUGAAGGCCCUAGGGUCGUAAACCCCUUUCAGUGGGGACGAAAAUGACGGUACCCACAGAAGAAGGUCCGGCCAACUACGUGCCAGCAGCCGCGGUAAGCCGUAGGGACCGCGCGUUGUCCGGAAUUAUUGGGCGUAAAGAGCUCGUAGGCGGUUGCGUAAGUCGGAUGUGAAAGCUCAGGGCUCAACCCUGAGACGCCAUCCGAUACUGCGCUGUCUUGAUUCCUGGAGGGGAGUGUGGAAUUCCUGGUGUAGCGGUGAAAUGCGCAGAUAUCAGGAGGAACACCUAUGGCGAAGGCAGCACUCUGGGCUGGUAUUGACGCUGAGGAGCGAAAGCAUGGGUAGCAAACAGGAUUAGAUACCCCGGUAGUCC